Molecule: long non-coding RNA, 1448 nt
Organism: Xyrauchen texanus (razorback sucker)
Lineage: Eukaryota; Metazoa; Chordata; Actinopteri; Cypriniformes; Catostomidae
Exons: 4
Source: RefSeq, a predicted model, not a curated record
GUAUAUGCUGUGUACAGCAAGACAUUUCAAGCCUGGCAGGAGUAUGUUGAUGUCCAGAGAGAAGACAAAAAAGUUUUAUAUUAAAAUGCAUGACUGGAUGCACUGGAGAGACAGGAUGAAACAUGCCUCGGUUCAUCCAAAGCCCAUCAUCACCGAUGUCUUCACCUGUAAAAUAUUCACUACAUCGAUGAACAGACAGGCUAAGAACCAGACAACAGUGGUUCAGGUCAUUUGGAGGAAUUACCAUAAUCAUUUCGGAAUCUCUGUGUGUAUGAACCUGCUUUGCCGAACAUGUCCUCCCACAAUGCUUGAACUCUUGGACGGAGUUUACAGCACAACGCACAGAGAAACGAGAGAGGGAAGAGAGAGCUGCACAACAUUAUAAUAAGAGACAUUUCAAGCAGGCAGAGGGUCAUGAUGGACAGCGCUGUUUGAGAAAAGCCAUGACAGACUGGCAGGAGGUAUGAAAACCAAAAUAAAUAACACUAAUCACUCUGGAACAAAUCUUCACAAAGGAAAUGGCAGAGAAUGCUUGAAAUAGUAAUUUUGUUUAUGAUGCAGCAUUGUCUUUAGCUAUCCUUUGCACUUUCGACUUGCCACUUCAACAGUUCAGACCAACAAAUGAGGCUUUAUAACAUGACAAGUAAUAUAUAUUUAUUUGUUUAGUGCCUUUCACAACACAUAUUUCAACAACCUGCAAGAAUAUAGCAAUGUUAACAUAGACAUGAAUAAAUGCAAACAUCUUAAUUUAAGUGUCCCAGGUACCCUAAUUCACUCUAAAUGUUAAUGUGUGUGACAGUUUGUAGAUCACAGAAGACGGAAGAGAAAGAGACUUGCACAAAUGGACAAACACUACCAAAGUAAACUGCUCAGUCAUACUCUAGAGGCGUGGAGGGUAUGAAUAUCAAAGACUUUGUCACAAGAUUCACAAGAAGUAUAGACACAAGAUGUAAACUAAAUGUGUGGUAACAUGAUUUUAGUGUCAUUUACUAACAUUUACAGUGUAAGUUAUACCAAAUUUUAGUCGCCAUGACGACGUAGCUUGUACACCCUAAAAUGAUGAUAUAAAUUCAAUAGCUCAAAUAAUACACAAGUUUUAACAGAAGAAUUUAAGUGCUUUUAUAAAAUUAUAAGCUUCACAUUUCUGCUUUCAACCCUAAAAGAAUUGGCCCCAUUCACUUCCAUUGUAAUUGUCUCACUGUUACCCAGGAUGUUCCUUCUUUUUUUUUUAAGAAAAGGAGGGACGAGUCUAAAUACAUUUUUGUAGUAAUCAACAUUACACCACAAAUGCUGUCGAUUGAUUUAAACUUAAAUUGAGCACGGAAUAUUCCUUGAAAUAAAUAUUACAUUAUAUAUAAAUGCAGUACUGUGCAAAGGUCUUAUAAGAUGUUUCACAAAAGCAUUUGUCUUAAGAUUGUUAUUUAUAUCUUCAGCUUUAGUGUGUCAAU